GACGAACGCUGGCGGCGUGCUUAACACAUGCAAGUCGAACGCGAAAUUUUUCUUCGGAAGAAGAGUAGAGUGGCGCACGGGUGAGUAACGCGUAAGUUAUCUACCUCGGCAUCUGGAAUAACUCACCGAAAGGUGUGCUAAUACCGGAUACGUUGAGUAAUCAAGAAAGGUGGCCUCUGAAUAUGCUACUGUGCUGAGAUGAGCUUGCGUACCAUUAGCUAGUUGGUAGGGUAAUGGCCUACCAAGGCGACGAUGGUUAGCGGGGCUGAGAGGAUGAUCCGCCAAACUGGAACUGGAACACGGACCAGACUCCUACGGGAGGCAGCAGUGAGGAAUAUUGCGCAAUGGGGGCAAACCUGACGCAGCGACGCCGCGUGGAUGAUGAAGGCCUUCGGGUCGUAAAAUCCUGUCAAGUGGAAAGAAGUGCAUAGUGGUUAAUACCUGCUAUGUUUGACGGUACCACUGAAGGAAGCACCGGCUAACUCCGUGUCAGCAGCCGCAGUAA
Molecule: ribosomal RNA, 505 nt
Filed under: uncultured bacterium
Lineage: Bacteria
Description: partial 16S ribosomal RNA
Rfam family: Bacterial small subunit ribosomal RNA
Source: RNAcentral